UACAGAGGGUGCAAGCGUUAAUCGGAAUCACUGGGCGUAAAGGGCGCGUAGGUGGCCUGAUAAGGGUGUGGUGAAAGUCCGGGGCUCAACCCCGGAUCUGCCGUGCCGACUGUUGGGCUGGAGUACUGUAGGGGCAGGCGGAAUCCGGGUGGAGUGGUGAAAUGCGUAGAGAUCCGGAGGAACACCAAAGGCGAAGGCAGUGUCCUGGGGAGUACCUG
Molecule: ribosomal RNA, 218 nt
Filed under: uncultured bacterium
Lineage: Bacteria
Description: partial 16S ribosomal RNA
Rfam family: Bacterial small subunit ribosomal RNA
Source: RNAcentral